RNAcentral lists this ribosomal RNA (492 nucleotides) under uncultured bacterium. RNAcentral's name for it is "partial 16S ribosomal RNA". It matches the Rfam family "Bacterial small subunit ribosomal RNA", at positions 29 to 507 of the family's 1533-position model. The record is from RNAcentral.
AGUGAACGCUGGCGGUAGGCCUAACACAUGCAAGUCGAACGGCAGCACAGUAAGAGCUUGCUCUUACGGGUGGCGAGUGGCGGACGGGUGAGGAAUACAUCGGAAUCUACUUUUUCGUGGGGGAUAACGUAGGGAAACUUACGCUAAUACCGCAUACGACCUACGGGUGAAAGCAGGGGAUCUUCGGACCUUGCGCGAUUGAAUGAGCCGAUGUCGGAUUAGCUAGUUGGCGGGGUAAAGGCCCACCAAGGCGACGAUCCGUAGCUGGUCUGAGAGGAUGAUCAGCCACACUGGAACUGAGACACGGUCCAGACUCCUACGGGAGGCAGCAGUGGGGAAUAUUGGACAAUGGGCGCAAGCCUGAUCCAGCCAUACCGCGUGGGUGAAGAAGGCCUUCGGGUUGUAAAGCCCUUUUGUUGGGAAAGAAAAGCGGCAGGUUAACACCCCGCUGUUCUGACGGUACCCAAAGAAUAAGCACCGGCUAACUUCGUG